UUAAUUUGAGAUAAUUAGCUAGCUUUAGAUACAUUUUAUGUUGGCAGAAAUGAUUAAGGUCAAAUGUCUUCAAUGUUUAUAGUUACCAACCAUAAACAGAUGUAUCCAGUAUAUGAUUGUUUUAUUGCGGGUGUUCAAGCAUCCCUGAGACGAAGUCAACAUCAAGCUACUUGGGCUUCUCAUAUGAAUGGGAAUAUUCCAUUUCAUUUGGAAAUCAAGGUCCUAGAGUCAUGAUUCAUGUUCUUUGUCAUGUUCAUGCCGUGUUUAGCCACUCAUUCAGCUCACCUGUCUCACCUGGGUCCCGCCCUACUUAAACACCUCUCAUCUUCUGCCCCCUUGCCAGAUUAUCGACCGCCCCCGAGCCAGUAGAGAUCCAAUGUUUUCUUCCAAGCCUUCGGUGUAUUUUCUGCCCACCCCUUCUGCCAAGCUCUUUACGGAUCCCAUCUGUUUCGGAUUUCUGGACCCCGACCCAAGCUGUGCCUCGCGACCACCGAGUAUUGCCUGCCCUUCCUGCUAAGUUUUGCUCUCUCUGUCCUCCUGUGUGUGAUCUCAGUUUGAUCAUCGUCAAAGUCCCUCGAUGUUGCUUUUUUGGGACCUCUCUGUGGAGCUCUUCUUUGAUUCGUCGCACUCACAGAAGCCUGUUCAAUCUGGUUACCUGCACCUCCCUGCCAUCAAAGCCUCGGUUCUUCUGCUCCACCCGUCCACUGCUCUACAGAUUGCUUGGAUGUCUGAAGAAAUCAAUGAGCCACCUCAUCGAUGCUUCAAGUCAGUCGAUGUGAGGCACUCUGGGACUGUUGAAACGAAAUAUCUCUUCAUGCACAUGCUCAAUUACUAUCUGGUCAGUAUCCGAUAUGUUUUUCCUCACCUUCAAUCAUUAUGAAGUGGACUUAAAAAAAUCAAUAGAUCAGAGACAAUUUGACAUCUAACUGAAUGGAGCUAAUUACAUUUAACUACUCAUUUUGAACUAAUAUGAAAUGUAUGAAAAAGUCCAAAUUUGACCACAAAUACAUAGUAUUUUCAGUUUUGCUGACUCAAUUGCUACAUAAUAAACCUUUUUAUGUCCAACAGCCUCAGCUGUAAAAGUUGGAACAAAUGUUCACAGUAAAACAUUUUACUGCCAAGUAAUACAUUUUACACUGAAGGUAAGUACACAAAGCCAGAAUCCUACUAAUGCUAAAAGGCUAAUUAAACUGGGAGGAAACUAUAAAUCAAUCAAAUAAUUAAGACAUUUAGUUGAAGAAAUUGAAAUGAGGCUGCAGACUUUGUUUUACACCUCAACACAUCAUCAUGAAGAAUUAACUAAUGAAGUUUCAUGCAACAAAUUUAACAAAGUACUGCCUAGUGCCUAGCAUUGAUGAUGUAGAUUCCAGAGUAGUUUUUUCACUAAAACGGGUCCAUAAUUACAAAAGAAAAAGCACAAGGCUUCUUGCUUUAUUCAUCGGCAUUCUGGAUAGCAUCUGGGAAAGUCGGAAACCGUUGGCAACAGAAAACCCGAAAACCCAAAAAGUUCCAUUCUUGAUGACUGAUUCUCAUCUUCCUUCGAUACUCCAUCUUGGAUUUACCUAUUGAACUCGAUUUGUCUGAUUGGACUUCAACUAGUCAGCGAACAAAAGGAAAAGUUGAGAACGAUGACUAUGAUUUUCUGCACUAUUUUUGUAACGGUAGUCUGCCUGAAGUUUUAGCAAUGAUAGCAGAGGAAAUGAAUGAAGCCAUUUAGUCUGUAUUGGCCAAGCAUUCAAAUAUUGAAUUAACAUUGACAGCCAUCUCAUUCAGCUUGGCACUUCUCUCUUCAUGGUGGGGGGCGUUUGUUUACAGCGCAGGCAAUUACUGGUGAGCUUCAUAGCAUUGAACUGGUGCAUUACCUAGUCAUACAUCCUGUUUUCAUAGAAAAAUAGUUCAGAAGAAAAAAACAUCAAAGACAAACAAAAUACAACCAGACAUUCUUUUGACAAGCUGCUGAGACCUUCCGUGAUCUUUAAUAUGUUUGGGUUGUUUUCAGAUAACUUUUCUCCACAUCCCCUUCAAAGCGUCCUCCCUACCUGUGUAGGUGACUAUGCCUCGGACAGGUUUCUCUUUAAGUUUUAGAUUGGCUUCAUUUCUGUGACUACAAAAGUGACAGAUGCAUAUUUUUUGGAGCACCCCUCCCUUCAGGAUCCCUGACAAUCCCCCCAUUGCCAUGGCAACAGAGGCAGUAAGUUGUGGCUGAUACGCUGCUGAGGUGUUUCCCAAUCUGACAGCCCAGCUCUCAGUCUUUGUUGGUAUCUCUUUACUUUCGCCUCUCUCUCUCUCUGUCUCACACACAUACACACGCAUACACACUCUCCUCUUUCGCAUGUCAGGUGGAUUUUUUUUUUUCUUUUUUGGAGAUGAUGAGUGUCUGUAUCCCUCUUUGGUGCCACAGUGACACAGGCGCCCUGCCCAGCCCUGCUCCCUCAUUGUGCUCACUGACAUUUUCUCCAAAUUGAGGCUCUGACAUGACACAAGGGGAAGUGAAGAUGACGCUUCAGAGGUGACCAGACCACACAGACCCCUGGCACCUUCACGCAGCAGGAGUCUGCAAAGUCACUGUGGACUGCAAAGCAGGAUUAGGUUUUCUCUCAAGUGGCAGG
This is a non-coding RNA of Poecilia reticulata (guppy), 2609 nucleotides long. NCBI's taxonomy places the organism in Eukaryota, Metazoa, Chordata, Actinopteri, Cyprinodontiformes, Poeciliidae. The record is from RefSeq and is a predicted model, not a curated record.